AGUGAAGAUUUUGAUGAACUCUCACACAAUCUAUUUUUUGCGGCUCCACUAUUGGUGCUGUUUGGAGUUAGGUCCUUACUUCCUUUUUUGGCAAUACUCAUAUCUGAACGUGUCUAGGGAUUUAGCAGGGCAAACAUUUUUACUAGUUAGGAGUAAAUAUACUUUACUAAUUUGCACAUUUCUGCAGUAUAUGCUAUACAUCUCUUACAGGGGAGAAGAUACUUCUUAAUUGAACAGAUGCAGAAAUCUCACAUGUAUUUUGCCGACUGAGGAAUGCAAUCACAACUACCA
Molecule: unclassified non-coding RNA, 291 nt
Filed under: Hevea brasiliensis (rubber tree)
Lineage: Eukaryota; Viridiplantae; Streptophyta; Magnoliopsida; Malpighiales; Euphorbiaceae
Source: RNAcentral